GCCAUAGCUCAGCUGCAGAGCAUCUGCCUUGCAAGCAGAAGGUCCUGGGUUCAAAACCCCACCAGGUAGGGCCG
Podarcis lilfordi (Lilford's wall lizard) is the source of this 74-nucleotide non-coding RNA. The record is from the annotation of a GenBank genome assembly. NCBI's taxonomy places the organism in Eukaryota, Metazoa, Chordata, Lepidosauria, Squamata, Lacertidae.